RNAcentral lists this ribosomal RNA (253 nucleotides) under uncultured bacterium. RNAcentral's name for it is "partial 16S ribosomal RNA". It matches the Rfam family "Bacterial small subunit ribosomal RNA", at positions 524 to 776 of the family's 1533-position model. The record is from RNAcentral.
CACGUAGGGCGCAAGCGUUGUCCGGAAUUAUUGGGCGUAAAGAGCUCGUAGGUGGUUUGUUACGUCCGCUGUGAAAUCCUAGGGCUUAACCCUGGGCUUGCAGUGGAUACGGGCAGACUAGAGUUCGGCAGGGGAGACUGGAAUUCCUGGUGUAGCGGUGAAAUGCGCAGAUAUCAGGAGGAACACCGGUGGCGAAGGCGGGUCUCUGGGCCGAAACUGACGCUGAGGAGCGAAAGCGUGGGGAGCAAACAGG